Molecule: ribosomal RNA, 455 nt
Filed under: Catonella morbi
Lineage: Bacteria; Bacillati; Bacillota; Clostridia; Lachnospirales; Lachnospiraceae
Description: bacterial SSU rRNA
Rfam family: Bacterial small subunit ribosomal RNA
Source: RNAcentral
GAUGAACGCUGGCGGCGUGCCUAACACAUGCAAGUCGAACGGAGGUUACAGACGGAAGUUUUCGGAUGGAAGACUGUAAUUCUUAGUGGCGGACGGGUGAGUAACGCGUGGGCAACCUGCCCUAUACAGGGGGAUAGCAGCUGGAAACGGCUGGUAAGACCGCAUAAGUCGGCGAGACCGCAUGGUUUUGCCGGGAAAUGAGCAAUCAGGUAUAGGAUGGGCCCGCGUCCGAUUAGCCAGUUGGCAGGGUAAAAGCCUACCAAAGCAACGAUCGGUAGCCGGACUGAGAGGUCGGACGGCCACAUUGGGACUGAGACACGGCCCAAACUCCUACGGGAGGCAGCAGUGGGGGAUAUUGCACAAUGGAGGAAACUCUGAUGCAGCGACGCCGCGUGAGUGAAGAAGUAUUUCGGUAUGUAAAGCUCUAUCAGCAGGGAAGAUGAUGACGGACCUGA